This 655-nucleotide ribosomal RNA is filed under the name Therrya guizhouensis. RNAcentral's name for it is "eukaryotic LSU rRNA". The stretch from base 337 to 490 matches the Rfam family "5.8S ribosomal RNA". The record is from RNAcentral. Lineage: Eukaryota; Fungi; Ascomycota; Leotiomycetes; Rhytismatales; Rhytismataceae.
UAGAAAAUGCUAGUCUCCCCAGGGAGGCGACACGCUCAACAUGCGGAAAGGCCCUUUCGAGGGAAAUCCGCAGCCCCUACCCGGGGUUCAGAGACUCGAUGAGCGUGGGUCUGGCUACGGCCAGGCUUAAGAUAGAGCCCGUCCCUGCUGGCAACUCCAGGGAGUCGACGGAACCUGCGGAAGGAUCAUUAAUGAAUAACGGCUUCACGGCCCUAUUCUCACCCUAUGUAUACCUAACUUGGUUGCUUUGGCAGGCCCCUGGCUUCGGCUGGACAGCGCCUGCCAGAGGACAUAAACCCUGGAAUCUUUGCUGUCUGAGUACUAUAUAAUAGUUAAAACUUUCAACAACGGAUCUCUUGGUUCUGGCAUCGAUGAAGAACGCAGCGAAAUGCGAUAAGUAAUGUGAAUUGCAGAAUUCAGUGAAUCAUCGAAUCUUUGAACGCACAUUGCGCCCUCUGGUAUUCCGGGGGGCAUGCCUGUUCGAGCGUCAUUACAACCCUCACGCCUAGCGUGGUAUUGGGCUCCGCCUGCUAAAGGUCGGCCUCAAAAUCAGUGGCGGCACCGUCUGACUCUAAGCGUAGUAAUACUCGUCGCUUUUGAGUUCGGGCGGCAGCCUGCCAGCAACCCCCACUUUCAAGGUUGACCUCGGAUCAGG